Molecule: ribosomal RNA, 2022 nt
Filed under: Triticum aestivum (bread wheat)
Lineage: Eukaryota; Viridiplantae; Streptophyta; Magnoliopsida; Poales; Poaceae
Description: partial small subunit ribosomal RNA
Source: RNAcentral
AUGCACGCACCGUCCCCACGCGGCGCUCCCCCGGACGCGCACUCCGUCGAGCACCUGCCCCACGGCGGCCCCCUCCUCCACCGCCUCCUCCCGGCGUGCGCCACCCUCCCCUCCCUCCGCGCCCUCCACGCGCGCCUCCUCGCGCACGGCCUCCUCCGCGCCCUCCGCGCGCGCACCAAGCUGCUCAGCUGCUACUCGGCGCUCGGCGACCUCGCCUCCGCGCGCAGGGUGCUCGAUGAAACCCCGCGCCCGGACGCCUACACCUACAGGGUCGCCCUGGGGUGGCACGCCUCCGCGGGGCGGCACGCGGAGGCCGUCGCGCUCCACCGGGGCAUGCGGCGGCGGUGCCCCGAGGCGCAGGACGACGUCGUCCUGCUGUCCCUCGCGCUCAAGGCCUCGGUCAGGUCGGCCGACUUCCGCUACGGCAGGCGGCUGCACUGCGACGCCGUCAAGGCCGGUGGCGCGGACGGGUUCGUGAUGAACUGCCUGGUCGACAUGUACGCCAAAGCCGGCGACCUGGAGAACGCACGCAAGGUGUUCGACAGGAUCCUUAGCCGUAACGUGGUGUCGUGGACGUCCAUGCUCAGCGGCUGCCUGCAGAAUGGUUUCGCCGAAGAAGGACUGGCGCUGUUCAAUGAGAUGAGGGAAGAGCGUGUGCUGCCGAGCGAGCACACGAUGGCGAGCGUGCUCACGGCUUGCACCAUGCUCGGCAGUUUACACCAAGGAAGAUGGGUUCAUGGGUCAGUGAUCAAACAUGGCAUGGUCUUUAACCCUUUCGUUACUGCAGUGAUGCUGGAUAUGUAUGUCAAGUGCGGAGAGGUAGAGGAUGCUCGGCGGUUGUUUGAUGAGCUUGGUUUUGUUGACCUUGUUCUCUGGACGACGAUGAUCGUGGGGUAUACGCAGAAUGGGAGUCCUCUUGAUGCAUUGCUUCUGUUCGCUGACAAGAAAUUCGUGCGCAUUGUUCCUAAUUCGGUAACCAUAGCAACUGUUCUUUCAGCUUCCGCUCAGUUGCGCAACUUGUCUCUGGGAAGGUUGAUUCAUGGGAUGUCAGUUAAGUUAGGUGUGGUUGAGAAGGAUGUGGUGAUGAAUGCGCUCGUUGACAUGUAUGCAAAGUGUAAAGCAGUGUCAGAGGCCAAUGGCAUAUUUGGAAGAAUCUCGAACAAGGAUGUUGUCACAUGGAAUUCAUUGAUCGCUGGCUAUGUUGAGAAUGACAUGGGCAAUGAAGCUCUAAUGCUAUUUAGUCAGAUGAGGGUGCAGGGUUCUUCGCCUGAUGCCAUCUCCGUAGUGAACGCCUUGUCAGCCUGUGUUUGUUUGGGUGAUCUACUUAUCGGUAAAUGUUUCCAUACUUAUGCUAUCAAACGCGCAUUUCUGUCCAACAUUUACGUCAACACUGCUCUGCUGAACCUGUACAACAAGUGUGCCGAUCUCCCAUCUGCUCAGAGGGUGUUCAGUGAGAUGAAUGACCGCAAUUCUGUCACUUGGGGUGCUAUGAUUGGAGGCUACGGUAUGCAGGGCGAUUCUGCUGGCUCGAUCGACCUUUUUAAUGAAAUGCUGAAGGACAAUAUCCAACCAAAUGAAGUAGUGUUCACAAGUAUCCUUUCCACUUGCAGCCACACUGGGAUGGUUUCUGUAGGAAAGAAGUGUUUUGAAAGCAUGGCACAGUAUUUCAACAUCACUCCUUCAAUGAAGCAUUAUGCAUGUAUGGUUGAUGUGCUGUCCCGUGCCGGAAAUCUGGAGGAGGCAUUGGAUUUCAUACAGAAGAUGCCAAUGCAAGCAGACAUUAGUGUCUGGGGAGCUUUUCUCCAUGGGUGCAAGCUCCAUUCCAGGUUAGAGUUUGGAGAAGAAGCGAUCAAUAGGAUGAUGGUUCCUCAUCCUGACACGCCAGCUUUUUAUGUGCUGAUGUCCAACUUGUAUACCUCAUAUGGGAGAUGGGAUAAGUCUCUUGCUAUCAGGAGAUCGAUGCAGGAAAGAGGACUAGUCAAGCUACCUGGGUGCAGCUCUGUGGGACUUGAAAAUGGAUGA